AUGGUGGAGGGCUCUGAGAGUGAUAUCUCGAACCUCAAGUUCCUCCUAUUGUGCUUCCAGCAGAUGUCCGGCCUUAGGAUCAACUUCGACAAGAGUGAGGUUAUGGUCUUGGGCUACACCCAAGACGAGUGACAGAGUAUAGCGGAUCGGCUUAACUGCCAGCUUUGGUGUUUCCCCACGACUUAUCUGGGGAUACCCAUUAGUGAUGCCAGGCUUACGGUGGCCGAGCUACGCCCCACGGCGGGGAAGCUCCAACACCGGAUCGAGCCCUGGCAGGGUCGGUGGCUCUUGAAAGCGGCCCGUAUGGUGCUCAUUAACUCGUCCCUCUCCAGCCUCCUAUUAUUCAUCAUGAGUUUCUACAGCCUUCCGGAGACUCUUCAUCACGAGAUUGCCACCGUUCAGGGGCGCUUCUUCUGGGCCGGCGAGGGUGAUAAGCAGAAAUACCACAUGGUCAGGUGGUCUAAGAUCUGCAAACCUCGCGACCAGGGCGUCCUUGGGAUCAUGUCCUCCAAACGCAUGAAUAUUGCCCUUCUGACUCGGUGGCUCUGGAGGAUUUGCAACGGAGAUGGUGGCCUGUGGCUAUGCAUUAUUCAGCAGAAAUACCUCCAAGGCUAG
This 615-nucleotide ribosomal RNA is filed under the name Triticum aestivum (bread wheat). Its description in RNAcentral is "partial small subunit ribosomal RNA". Lineage: Eukaryota; Viridiplantae; Streptophyta; Magnoliopsida; Poales; Poaceae. The record is from RNAcentral.